CCUACGGGAGGCAGCAGUGAGGAAUAUUGGUCAAUGGGAGGAAUCCUGAACCAGCCAUGCCGCGUGCAGGACGACGGCUCUACGAGUUGUAAACCGCUUUUGUUCAAGGGCAAGGCACGGUCUUUGGCCGUGUUGAGUGGAUUGUUCGAAUAAGCACCGGCUAACUACGUGCCAGCAGCCGCGGUAAUACGUAGGGUGCAAGCGUUAUCCGGAUUUAUUGGGCGUAAAGGGCUCGUAGGCGGGUCGUCGCGUCCGGUGUGAAAGUCCAUCGCUUAACGGUGGAUCCGCGCCGGGUACGGGCGGGCUUGAGUGCGGUAGGGGAGACUGGAAUUCCCGGUGUGACGGUGGAAUGUGUAGAUAUCGGGAAGAACACCAAUGGCGAAGGCAGGUCUCUGGGCCGUUACUGACGCUGAGGAGCGAAAGCGUGGGGAGCGAACAGGAUUAGAUACCCUGGUAGUC
RNAcentral lists this ribosomal RNA (459 nucleotides) under uncultured bacterium. RNAcentral describes it as "partial 16S ribosomal RNA". It matches the Rfam family "Bacterial small subunit ribosomal RNA", at positions 338 to 795 of the family's 1533-position model. The record is from RNAcentral.